AACGAACGCUGGCGGCAUGCCUAACACAUGCAAGUCGAACGAGACCUUCGGGUCUAGUGGCGCACGGGUGCGUAACACGUGGGAAUCUGCCCUUUGCUUCGGAAUAACAGUUAGAAAUGACUGCUAAUACCGGAUGAUGUCGAAAGACCAAAGAUUUAUCGGCAAAGGAUGAGCCCGCGUAGGAUUAGGUAGUUGGUGGGGUAAAGGCCUACCAAGCCGACGAUCCUUAGCUGGUCUGAGAGGAUGAUCAGCCACACUGGGACUGAGACACGGCCCAGACUCCUACGGGAGGCAGCAGUGGGGAAUAUUGGACAAUGGGCGAAAGCCUGAUCCAGCAAUGCCGCGUGAGUGAUGAAGGCCUUAGGGUUGUAAAGCUCUUUUACCAGGGAUGAUAAUGACAGUACCUGGAGAAUAAGCUCCAGCUAACUCCGUG
Molecule: ribosomal RNA, 433 nt
Filed under: uncultured bacterium
Lineage: Bacteria
Description: partial 16S ribosomal RNA
Rfam family: Bacterial small subunit ribosomal RNA
Source: RNAcentral